GUGAGUGUAGCUCAACUGGCAGAGCACUGGACUGUGGCUCCAGUGGUUGCGGGGUCGAAACCCGUCACUCACC
Molecule: transfer RNA, 73 nt
Filed under: Candidatus Schekmanbacteria bacterium RBG_16_38_11
Lineage: Bacteria; Candidatus Schekmaniibacteriota
Description: tRNA-His
Rfam family: tRNA
About the family: Transfer RNA (tRNA) molecules are approximately 80 nucleotides in length. Their secondary structure includes four short double-helical elements and three loops (D, anti-codon, and T loops).
Source: RNAcentral